Molecule: long non-coding RNA, 5283 nt
Filed under: Sus scrofa (pig)
Lineage: Eukaryota; Metazoa; Chordata; Mammalia; Artiodactyla; Suidae
Description: lncRNA (ENSSSCG00030004252.1)
Source: RNAcentral
UUUUUUUUUUGCUUUUUAGAGCCACAUGUUUGGCAUAUGGAAGUUCCCAGGCUAGGGGCUGGAUUGGAGCUAUAGCUGCUGGCCAACACCAAAUCCGAGCCACGUCUGCAACCUGCCCCACAGCUCGAGGCAAUACCAGAUCCUUAGCCCACUGAGCAAGACCAGGGAUUGAACCCGCAACCUCAUGGAUAAUAGUCAGGUUCGUUUCCUCUGAGCCACAAUGGGAACUCCCCCCAAAAUAAUUUAAAAAAUAACUACAAGAUUUAAAAGAAGCAAACAAUGUACAGAUGUUUUUAAAAGGAGAAUGAUAUCAAGAUAUAGUCAUACAUUUAAAAUAAAUCACUUUGCUAUAUAGCAGAAUUGACAGAACAUUGUAAAUCAACCAUAAUAAAAAAAUUUUCAAGUUAUAGUCAUACAUAAGCUUAAAGAAGUACCUGAUUGGUCACAAGGUAGAUCCUUGGACUAUGUCUAUUUACUAUUUAACAAAAUUUUACAGGAAAACCUCAUUUUAAGGGUUUUUUUUUUUUUUCUUCCAAGAAUAGAGAGAACUAGGUCUUAAGGUACAGACUAAAGUAAUACAGCCUCUCCCAAAACAUGUUCCUCGGGAUACCAGUCCCUGAAGAGCCUCGGCAGAAAAAGUUAUCUGCAUUCAAACAAGUUAGAGAAGUACUCCGUGUUCUCCUUGCCCUGUAGGAGAGCCCCAAGGCAUACGUUCCUGAAGGAAGUAGAGAAAAAUUUUAGAUUAACUUUGCUUCACAUCAAAAUUAUCUAACUUCAUCAGCCAAAGAAUAUUUACAUAGAGGACCGUCUUCCAAGAUCUUAGGAACUAGUUUUCUAAGGAACACGGCACAGAAAGCUUUGCUCAUCUCGAGCAGAUAUGCGAGGUUUUCUGCUUUUAUUGAUGAUGAUGUCCCAGAACCUGGAAAGAUGGGCUUCAACAUGGAACCAAUGCAUGGUUGCUAUGUGACAAUGGAAGCAAGUCUAUGACUUGAGAGCAGAGAGGAGAGACUUGAGAGCAGAGAGGAGAGACUUGAGAGCAUCAGUUGGUCCUUGAGGUGCUGGGGACCCAUCUUUAUCCUUCUCCUAAGCUUUGCCCAUGAUAACCAUCCGAGUUCCAGGCAAGGACAGCACAGCCGGUAGUAAUGACGACAGCAGCAACAACGAAAUCAGCUUUUCCGUAAACCGUUUCAGAAGUGAAUCAACCAAGUGGCAUCUGGAAGCUGGAUUCUCAUAUGGUACAUUGUAAUAUUCUGUCUCCACUGCCCCUGGUAGUUCUUGCUGUCUCUUUCACUCUUCCAGAAAGGACUGGAUCUAUAUUUCUUCUCUGUAAAAGGCGAAUGCAUGGGCUGGAGUGGCUUUUACAGGCUCCUCCAGCCUUGAAAUUUUGGAACAUUCACAAACAGUAAGAGACGCUCAUUGUGUUCUCCGGUUCGAUGCCUUUCUAGAAUUUUUUAAAUAUAUUUUAAAAUAUUUUUUUGUUAAGGUAGAAUUGAUUUACAAUGUUGUGCCAAUUUUUGCCAUAUAGCAUUGUGACCUAGUCAUACACACACAUAUAUAUAUAUAUCCAUAUGCAUUCUUAUUCUCAUAUUAUCGUCCAUCAUGUUCCAUCCCAAGAGACUGAUGUAGUUCCCUGUGCUGUAACAGGAGGACCUCGUGGCUUAUCCAUUCUACGUGUAAUAGUAAUGUGUAAGGAACUUUAUGUUAUAAAAACAUAACUAGUUUUUAUUUCUCGGUCACUACUGUAGGGAUAUUGUGUUUCCUGGUUUGGGCGAGCAAAAGGGAAUAUUGUGUACCAUCUGGGGAUUUGCAAAUGGGGUUCUUUGGCUGAAUCUUGUUGAGGGUUAUGCAAAUCUCAAAGAAAUGCAGUUUGCUUUGCCUUCAAGAGUAGGAAGUUAUAAACUGGCCACUUUCCCCUUGCACUUGACCAUCAUCAUCUUUCACAGAGAGUUCUUUUUUUUUUUUUUUUUGUAUUUUUUUAGGGCCGCACCCACAGCAUAUGGAGGUUCCCAGGCUGGGGGUCCAAACAGAGCCUUUGCCGCCGGCCUAUGCCACAGCCAUGGCCAUGCGGGAUCCAAGCCGUGUCUGUGGCCUACCCCACAGCUCAUGGCAAUGCCAGAUCCUUAACCCGCUGAGCAAGGCCAGGGAUCGAACCUGAGUUCUCAUAGAUGCUAGUCAGGUUCGUUAACCACUGAGCCACUAUGGGAACUCCUCACAGAGAAUUCUUCUACAAGGAUUUGGUUCCUUUUAUUUUGGUACUUUAAGAAAAAAAAAAAAAAAAAAAGGAGGGGGAGGGAGUGGGAUGGACCAGGAGUUUGGGGUUGGCAAAUGCAAACUAUUAUUUUAGAAUGGAUAAGCAAUGAGGUCCUACCGUGUACACAGGGAACUAUAUCCAGUGUCUGGGAUAGAUCAUGAUGGGAGUUAAUAUAAGAAAGGGAAUGUAGGAGUUCCCGUCAUGGCACAGGGGAAACAAAUCCGACUAGGAACCAUGAGGUUGCGUGUUUGACCCCUGGCCUCGCUCAGUGGGUUAAGGAUCCGGCGUUGCUGUGAGCUUUGGUGUAGGUCACAGUUGCGGCUUGGAUCUGGUGUGGCUGUGGCUCUGGUGUAGGCCGGCAGCUACAGCUCCAAUUGGACCCCUCGCCUGGAAACCUACAUAAGCCGAGAGUGCAGCCUUGAAUAGACAAAAAGACCAAAAAAAAAAAAAAGAAAGGGAAUGUAUAUAUAUGACUGGGUCACUUUGCUGUACAGCAGAAAUUGGCAGCCUUGUAAAUCAACUAUUCUUUAAUUAAAAAAAAAAAUAAAUUAAAAACAAUUUUACAAAGAAAAAAAUGAUUACGCACCAUGCCCUAGAAACCUAUUCUCCUCUUUCUGGAUUUUUUAAAGCACGUUACAAUUGUACUAAGAGUCAAAAACGGUCCUGGAGGUGGAGACUUGUCAAAUGCUACUGGGAGCAGAGGGUCCAUCUCCUUCUCCUAAGAAGCUCAAUCUAAUCUUCCAGAAGGAAGUGCUCAUUUCAAUAAAACUCAGAGAGAAAUUGCACUUUCGGUUUCAUGCAAGAAUGCUGGACCUGAUCGUCCCAAUGUUUUUCCACUCCGCUAUAGAAAAAUCUAGAUGCAAUCAAGGAGGGGUCCAGGGCGGCUUGUGCCCAUGCUGACCAAGGGGUCAGGUGAUUUCCGGUCAUGAGCUGCUACUGGCAUGAAACAUGAUCAAGUCAGAAAUUUGACAGGUGCAAGUAAAGAGGCCAAGGUGACAUUCAAAAACUUUAUCUUGGACUCCCCAUGAGGAAGACUCACUGGUCUGUGAUUUGGGAAGUCCUGCCAUGUUGUGUAUUUAAGAUACUUUUAGGCUUUUCUGGAAAAGUUCCUGCCAAUCUGACUGAGUUCCCAUCUGUCUCCAGGAAUGUGGGCAACUCCAAACACCCUAAAGGGUAGAUAUGCUCAUUAAACCCAGGAUGGCCUUGCCAGCCUUGCUGGCUUUUUUCUUUAUCCGGCCAUGCCUAAGGGGAAGAGAAGCAUCUCCAGGGAGUUAGACCCGAAGCAUUUGCAGUGCUCGGGGUGCCCUGUUGCUUUUCUCUUUAGGACCCUAGAAGAAACAAGAAACAAACCAAAAACCAAAAACACAGGAUCGGAAAGCCGAGGGGAUGUUCUGGGACGAAUAAAUUUUCCGUUUCAUUCCCCCUAAAGUGCUGACUCUCCAAGAGUUCCAGAUGGUUCCUGAUACUGGGACACCAGAGUUCCUUCUCGCCCAGUUAUUCUCUUUCAGACUUGGACUCUUAACACUUGGCUGGCAUCGGGGAUGAGUCAGGCAUCGCACAGAGGGUAAGAGGAGUCCCAUCCAAGAGUAGGGCACUGCAGCGCUUUCCCUAAAUGAAAAUCGUGGUGGUUGCUGGGCCCUGUGAGAAUCUGAAUUCCCAACUCUCACUAUGAAGAUCCUCCUGCUCCGUCUUAGAGCUUUCAGUCUUUUCUCACCACCUGCCUGCUUUCAUUUCCUGACCCAAUCUUUUCCUUUUUUUGCUUUUUAGGGCCGCACCUGCGGCAUAUGGAAGUUCCCAGGCUAAGGGUGGAAUCGGAGCUGCAGCUGCCAGCCUACACCACAGCCACAGCAAUGCCAGAUCUGAGCCAAAUCUAAGACGUAUGCUGCAGCUUGCGGCAAUGCUGGAUCCUUAACCCACUGAGCGAGGUCAGGGAUUGAACCCCCAUCUGUAAGGGUUUGUAAGCUGCUGAGCCACAGCGGGAACUUCUGACCCUUAAUGCACAACCCCCAACCCCAGCGCAGGCAAACUAAGGAAACAAAUUCUAGCAACAGUCAAGUGUAUCAUUGGUGAUUUCUCCUUCCCAGCGGACAUUUAUGGUCAAUACAGAACCUAAGGUUUUCUUCGUUUCUGCCCUCCUUGGAUGUAGCUUCUUUGCCUUAUUGAUGGGUUCGAAAUAUUUACAAAAUAAAAAUAAAAGUUUAGGCGAGGAGAAAUAGCGCCCUCUGCAGGGCAAAUGAAUCUCGGACUUUUAUAGAAGAUUGUUUCCAAGCAAAGAACGUCUUUUUUUUUUUUUUUUUUUUAAUGGAGCAGGCAUGCUUUUCUUCUUUUAUAUUGAGGUUAAUGCUGCUGGUGGGCAAUACUGUUUCUCCCAAUUCAUUCAAUCCGCAUCACAAUCUUGUAAGGAAAUUGAAGCGGGCACUUAGGGAACUGGCCAGGGCCUCCUGGCCCAUCAUUUCCAAAGAACAGUAGGUCUCUUUGGGCCCAAGCCCAUGCUUUUUCACUCCAUCUUCCAAAGUGGACACUACAAAGAGUCAUGCAGGAGGCACACUGUGACUGGGGGGGGCGGGGAGCACUGUGUUUUUGCAGCCCUGCUUCUAAAUUAGGGUCUAUGAUUGGCAGUUGAUAAAAACUGCACUAUAACAAGACUCUCUACCUCUGCUCUUACUCUCCUUCAAGCCGUUCAGAUAAGCCCUUUCCAAGGAAUCUUGCUACAACACAAGUCUGUGCUUCUCAUAAGCCAUAGAAUUCAGGCCAAGCCGCUUGACCUCAAAUCAUGAAGCCCUCUGCAUUCUGGCAUAAACCUAACACUCCUGGCGUCACUUCCCAAACUCCCAGCCCCACCACUAAGGCAAAUGGGAAUCUUGCCAUUCGCUAAGCGUGCAGUUACACCUUUCUGGCUUUGAGCAAAUGCCAAGUAUCCUCUUCUUUGCCCUCUUCCCUUCCGUUUCUUUUCAGGAUGACUUCAGAUACCAAGGGUCCAUUCUUGUGGUCCCUGGAACCCUGGAGUCAGAUUCCAUUCACCCCAGCUCUGC